GAUGAAAAAUAAUGGUGCCAUUUAUCAAAAUGGUGAAAGACAGUGCAAGAUUGAUGGUCGGUGAACUUUGAAAGAUGGUGCAGUGAUAUGGAGGGACGCAGUUCAGCUCAAUGUAAACGUAGGCAUUUCCAUUGAACUUAAUGGACAAAAGGAUUUGGAUUUUUCAAUUUUAACAAGCAAGAAUUAAAACCUUUAAUUUGUAGGAUCAAAGAAACAGACUGGUCCACAAAGGCACAAUGGACCACAAGGCAAUCCCACUUUUUUUUUUAAUUAAAAAAUAAUAAUUUGUAGAAAAAACUUUUGGGUUUUGGGUUUUGCUUUGGGUUUUUAAUUUGUGAAACGAUACCCUACAAUUCAAAACCUUCAGAGAGAGAAUUGGGGAACCAGAGUAAGGGAAUUCGUGGUAGGAUAAGAGAGGCCAUGCAACUGCAUUGGGAACCCGCAUUUGGGUUAGUGCUUCAUCAGUUCCAGUAGAUGCCUUUUGCGGCCUCGCAUAUUAGCAGAGAGUGAGAGGAAGGGAAGUAGAGAGAGAAAUAAGACAGAGAGAGAGAGAGGAAGGAAAGUAGAGAGAGAGACUGAUUUCCUGUGAAGGAAACAGAGAGGUUUGAGCGAGGGACAGUACUGAGAGAGAAACAGAAGGCCGACGAUGAUGAUAAAUUUGUCACUCCUGCAAGAAAAUGAAACGAAUUUUCGCUCUUCUCUUUUCUCCAGAUUACUUGAGAGGCUUGAAAUAGGAUUUUCUCUUCUUUUAUGCAGAAACCAUGAGAAGAUUGAAAAUGGGUUUUCUCUCUCUUCUCCUAAGGACUAAGAAACUGUGGCUCCAACCUUAUGAAGAGUUGUAGCAAGACUUUCAAUUCUUAUCAUGCCCUUAACGGCCACAAUCAAGCGAUUCACAGUGCAUCCAGGAGAAGAAAUGCUCUUUAGGAGAAAACAAGAAGAGAAGGUCAGAGAGAGUCUCCUACCAAAAACCAGAGACAUUCUCAGCUCUCACCCUAAAAUAAAGAGAUGAGUUUGAAGGGUCGCACAAGAGAGAGAAAAACAGAGGCUUACAGAUAAACCUGGGCAAUGUUCAGUGUAUCUCAAGAACGAGAAUUUCAGGAGCAAAUCUUUGUCUUAUCC
RNAcentral lists this long non-coding RNA (1119 nucleotides) under Amborella trichopoda. RNAcentral's name for it is "long non-coding RNA (ATRI_LNC005223)". The record is from RNAcentral. Lineage: Eukaryota; Viridiplantae; Streptophyta; Magnoliopsida; Amborellales; Amborellaceae.